GCCUGUUUAGCUCAGUCGGUAGAGCACUUCGUUGGUAACGAAGAGGUCACCAGUUCGAAUCUGGUAGCAGGCACCA
Molecule: transfer RNA, 76 nt
Filed under: Collinsella sp.
Lineage: Bacteria; Bacillati; Actinomycetota; Coriobacteriia; Coriobacteriales; Coriobacteriaceae
Also listed under: 3 other names
Description: tRNA-Thr
Rfam family: tRNA
About the family: Transfer RNA (tRNA) molecules are approximately 80 nucleotides in length.
Source: RNAcentral